Molecule: long non-coding RNA, 503 nt
Organism: Sapajus apella (tufted capuchin)
Lineage: Eukaryota; Metazoa; Chordata; Mammalia; Primates; Cebidae
Exons: 2
Source: RefSeq, a predicted model, not a curated record
CAAGGAUUCAUUAAUCCCUCCAGGAAUGUCUCGGAAUGGCUGUCCAGCCAGGGGAGCCCCAGUCCCCCAGUAUCUAGGUAGGAUCGCCGACUACUUCUCAGCAAUGUCAUUGUGAGGCUGUGGGUAAGAGACAGAUGUGUCUUCUCUACCCUCUCUGUUCUCCCUCAUUCUUCUCCCUCUCUCUUCUGCAACUUCCAGGAGGCUACCAAAGCCCAAGAUGACCUUGGAAGCUGCAGGCUGAAGAUGGCAGGGCUGGAGUCCCGGAGCUACUGUGUGGAGUAGAGUCCCCGCCUCCUGCUGACCAGGAAUAUAGGUGUUGGUUGUUAUAUUCCAUCAUGGGAAGGAGGAGGGGAAGACCCUGGAAGAUGGAGCAGAAGCCAGCAAGAAGCUAAGGUCUCACCUGGCAACCACCGAGGAGCCUCAACUGGCACAGUCAAGGUUUCUGCUAUCACAGGCCUGGGACUCGAGAGCAAGAGGGAAGCAGUUAUAGACAGCACAGCAAG